UGGAAUUACAGCAACCAAGACUCGGUCAGCCCCUGCACGUUAGCUUUGCUUUACCUACGGCUGAGGAUUUUGUCCGACGACAUUCUCCAUUCUGAUCUGAUCUACUAUUUGGGCUGCCUCUCUCCCUAUUUGUUGGUGACUUUUGUCCUUUGGCGUUUCUGGUGUCUUUCAGCCAUCCCUCACCUAGAUAGUUCAGCGGUGGCUGAGGGAGGACCUCUUCCUACGGAUGAAGACCCAAACCAGAGCAGCAGACCAGCAGAACGUGGAGCGACCCCUGACCCAAAUGGCCUGGAGGGGGGUUCCUUAAACCCCCAACGUUCCCGUUCAGGAAGCUGAAACGCACGGACGAGUUGUCUUCACAAACCCUUUCCUUUUCCAAGCGGUAGUAAAAUGUCCCCUUUUUCCCUUUGGAUUUAUUUGGAGACCCUGGAGGGGAAGCAUGCAUGACAUCCUACACCAAGUCAACCUCCUUCCAAAUCAAGAGCAAGUUAAAAUGAUGGUUUUGAGAAAAA
Long non-coding RNA from Protobothrops mucrosquamatus (brown spotted pit viper), 512 nucleotides. RefSeq lists it as uncharacterized. The transcript has 3 exons. Lineage: Eukaryota; Metazoa; Chordata; Lepidosauria; Squamata; Viperidae. The record is from RefSeq and is a predicted model, not a curated record.